This 445-nucleotide ribosomal RNA is filed under the name uncultured bacterium. RNAcentral describes it as "bacterial SSU rRNA". It matches the Rfam family "Bacterial small subunit ribosomal RNA", at positions 355 to 823 of the family's 1533-position model. The record is from RNAcentral.
UGGGGAAUAUUGGACAAUGGGCGAAAGCCUGAUCCAGCAAUGCCGCGUGAGUGAUGAAGGCCUUAGGGUUGUAAAGCUCUUUUACCAGGGAUGAUAAUGACAGUACCUGGAGAAUAAGCUCCGGCUAACUCCGUGCCAGCAGCCGCGGUAAUACGGAGGGAGCUAGCGUUGUUCGGAAUUACUGGGCGUAAAGCGUACGUAGGCGGUGACUCAAGUCAGAGGUGAAAGCCUGGAGCUCAACUCCAGAACUGCCUUUGAAACUAGGUCGCUAGAAUCACGGAGAGGUGAGUGGAAUUCCGAGUGUAGAGGUGAAAUUCGUAGAUAUUCGGAAGAACACCAGUGGCGAAGGCGGCUCACUGGACGUGUAUUGACGCUGAGGUACGAAAGCGUGGGGAGCAAACAGGAUUAGAUACCCAGGUAGUCCCUGAGCGGGCUGGCAAGGCGC